UGGGGAAUAUUGCACAAUGGGCGCAAUCCUGAUGCAGCCAUGCCGCGUGUAUGAAGAAGGCCUUCUGGUUGUCAAGUACUUUCAGCGGGGAGGAAGGGAGUAAAGUUAAUACCUUUGCUUAUUGACGUUUCCCGCAGAAGAAGCACCGGCUAACUCCGUGCCAGCAGCCGCGGUAAUACGGAGGGUGCAAGCGUUAAUCGGAAUUACUGGUCGUAAAGCGCACGCAGGCGGUUUGUUAAGUCAGAUGUGAAAUCCCCGGGCUCAACCUGGGAACUGCAUCUGAUACUGGCAAGCUUGAGUCUCGUAGAGGGGGGUAGAAUUCCAGGUGUAGCAGUGAAAUGCGUAGAGAUCUGGCGGAAUACCGGUGGCGAAGGCGGCCCCCUGGACGAAGACUGACGCUCAGGUGCGAAAGCGGGGGGAGCAAACAGG
RNAcentral lists this ribosomal RNA (429 nucleotides) under Chloroflexota bacterium. RNAcentral describes it as "Chloroflexi bacterium partial 16S ribosomal RNA". It matches the Rfam family "Bacterial small subunit ribosomal RNA", at positions 355 to 776 of the family's 1533-position model. Lineage: Bacteria; Bacillati; Chloroflexota. The record is from RNAcentral.